Molecule: transfer-messenger RNA, 348 nt
Filed under: Ruegeria sp. HKCCD6119
Lineage: Bacteria; Pseudomonadati; Pseudomonadota; Alphaproteobacteria; Rhodobacterales; Roseobacteraceae
Also listed under: 4 other names
Rfam family: Alphaproteobacteria transfer-messenger RNA
About the family: Bacterial tmRNA, also known as 10Sa RNA or SsrA, is named for its dual tRNA and mRNA-like properties. Its role is to liberate the mRNA from a stalled ribosome.
Source: RNAcentral
GAGUUUGCAUCCACCCAUCACCUCACCUAUAUAAGAAUCGUCCUUCGGGACUAUGGACAUAAACGCGCUCGUAAUAAGCGGAUCGGACCCGGGGGCGGUACCCGGCGGCUCCACCAACCAUCCUUCGUUUGGGGAUUUUGGGGCCGAAACAGGAUCGACGAACGUCUAAAGGGGUUAGCUUUGUCUCGGCUGUCUGCCACCGUUACCGGCGAAAACAGUACAAUUGCAAACGACAAUCGUGCUCCGGUUGCAGUUGCUGCGUAAGCAGUAGCAAGACCGAAACUUAAGCCCUUGCGCCUAGCCGCGUAAGGCGGGGUUCGCAGGUACCUGGCAACAGAAACCUGCAUU